RNAcentral lists this ribosomal RNA (3531 nucleotides) under Triticum aestivum (bread wheat). Its description in RNAcentral is "partial small subunit ribosomal RNA". The record is from RNAcentral. Lineage: Eukaryota; Viridiplantae; Streptophyta; Magnoliopsida; Poales; Poaceae.
CUAAUUAUAGAAAAUCUGAUCUUAUGCUUUCUCCAAUCAGCAGUAUACCAGACCUCAAAAUACUUAACUGGGUCUCUGAACUUGCGCUUCAAGAAAAUUUUAACAGACCUCGUCCAUGCCGAUUAUUUCCAGAAUAUGGUUUACUACAAGAUCUCUCAUGUGGAUCAUCGAAUAUCAAACCCAGAACAAAGGAUUGCGAGUGAUAUUCCGAAGUUCUGUUCUGAACUCAGUGAACUUGUACAGGAUGAUUUGGCUGCAGUUGCAGAAGGCUUGAUAUAUACCUGGCGUCUCUGUUCUUAUGCUAGUCCGAAAUACAUGCUUUGGAUUCUGGGAUAUAUACUAGUUGCUGGUGGAGCAAUUAGAAAUUUCUCUCCUGCUUUUGGAAAGAUGAAAUCUACAGAGCAGCACUUAGAAGGGGAGUAUCGUCAACUUCAUUCACGCUUAAGAACUCAUGCUGAGAGUGUAGCAUUUUAUGGUGGUGAGAAGAGAGAAGAAUAUCAUAUUAUGCACCGAUUCCGAGCUCUUGUUGGGCACUUGAAGCAUGUACUCCAUGAAAACUGGUGGUUCGGCAUGAUUCAAGAUUUCUUUCUGAAGUACUUCGGUGCCACUGUAGCAGUUGUUCUUAUUAUCGAACCGUUCUUCUCCGGCGACCUUAGACCUGAUUCAUCUACACUAGGAAGGGCUGAUAUGUUGAGUAACCUUCGAUACCACACGAGCGUGAUCAUAGCACUAUUUCAGUCUCUCGGGACCCUCUCUAUCAGCUCUAGGCGUUUGAAUAUCCUGAGUGGCUAUGCAGACCGGAUUCGUGAGUUACUAGAUGUUUCACGUGAGCUGUCUGGGGUCCGUGAUAGAUCGUUGAAUCACAGCUCUUCUAUCGGGAAUUACAUCAGCGAAGCAAACCAUAUAGAAUUUUCCGGCGUUAAGGUGGUGACACCCGCUGGGAAUGUUUUGGUUGACGAUUUAACUCUCCGAGUAGAAACUGGAUCUAAUCUUUUAAUCACCGGUCCCAAUGGUAGUGGAAAAAGCUCCCUUUUUCGGGUCCUUGGGGGCCUAUGGCCGCUAGUAUCUGGCCAUAUUGUCAAACCUGGUGUUGGUUCCGAUCUUAACAAGGAAAUCUUUUAUGUCCCACAAAGACCAUACACAGCUGUUGGCACACUUCGCGAACAGCUAAUCUAUCCUCUCACAGCAGAUCAGGAGACUGAACCACUUAGCUAUGAUGGCAUGGUGGACCUUCUAAAGAAUGUUGAUCUGGAAUACUUGCUAGAACGUUAUCCUCUUGACAAGGAAGUUAACUGGGGCGAUGAGCUAUCCCUUGGCGAGCAACAAAGAUUAGGAAUGGCCAGGCUGUUCUACCAUAAGCCAAAGUUUGCUAUUCUUGAUGAGUGUACUAGUGCUGUGACAAUUGAUAUGGAAGAACGUUUUUGCAAAAAGGUUCGAGCGAUGGGAACAUCAUGCAUAACAAUAUCUCAUCGCCCAGCGUUAGUUGCAUUUCAUAAUAUUGUUUUGUCAUUGGACGGUGAAGGAGGGUGGGAUGUUCAGCACAGAAGGGAUGACUCAUCCUUUUACACUGAAGAGUCUGAACUUACAUCACUGGAAACUGAACGUAAAUCGGAUGCCCUAACUGUUCAAAGGGCUUUUAUGAACAGGGCAAAGAGCAAUGCUUCAUUAAGAUCCAAGGAUUUCUACUCUACAAAGGUCAUAGCAAAUUCCCCCAAGUUGGAAACAGGGCAAACAGUACGAACACCUGUAAUCCCACAUUUGCAAUGCUCCCCAAGGCCUCUCCCUCUGAGAGCAGCUGCAAUGCUCAAAAUAUUGGUUCCUAAAUUACUGGACAAACAAGGAGGGCAGUUGCUUUCUGUUGCUCUACUUAUUUUCUCUCGCACCGUGAUCUCGGAUCGUAUUGCUUCACUGAAUGGGACUACUGUGAAGUUUGUCUUGGAGCAGGAUAAAGCUGCUUUCGUUCGGUUGGUUGGCGUCAGUGUUCUGCAGAGUGCUGCAAAUUCUUUCGUCGCACCAUCUCUGAGAACCCUUACUUCAAGACUUGCCCUUGGAUGGCGAAUUCGCUUGACCAACCAUUUGCUUCAAUAUUAUUUGAGAAGAAAUGCAUUCUACAAGGUAUUCAAUAUGUCAGGUAAAAGUAUCGAUGCAGACCAAAGACUAACACUUGAUGUGGAUAAGUUGACCACUGACCUUGCUGGCUUGGUUACCGGAAUGGUAAAACCACUAGUUGACAUUCUUUGGUUUACAUGGAGAAUGAAGCUUUUGUCUGGCCGAAGAGGAGUUGGUAUAUUGUAUGCUUACAUGUUACUAGGAUUGGGUUUCCUGAGAGCUAUAUCACCCGACUUUGGCCAUCUUGCAAGUGAGGAACAAGAACUUGAAGGAACAUUCAGGUUCAUGCACUCGAGGCUGCGGACUCAUGCUGAAUCAAUCGCUUUCUUUGGUGGUGGUUCAAGAGAAAAAGCUAUGGUCGAGGCUAAGUUCAUGAAAUUGCUUAACCACUCAAAGGUUCUGUUGAGAAAACAAUGGCUUUAUGGUAUUGUUGAUGAUUUUGUGACAAAGCAACUCCCGCACAAUGUGACAUGGGGUCUGAGUUUGUUAUAUGCUCUGGAGCACAAGGGAGACAGAGCUUUGACUUCGACACAAGGGGAGCUCGCACAUGCUCUGCGGUUCUUGGCAUCAGUGGUGUCACAAAGCUUCAUAGCCUUUGGCGAUAUUCUUGAGUUGCACAAAAAAUUCCUUGAACUUUCUGGUGGGAUUAACCGGAUCUUUGAGCUCGAGGAGACUCUGCGUGCAGCUCAAAAGGAUGCUCUGGUGCCUUCCAGUGCCAUUAGUGCAGCCUCAGACGAAAUUAUUGAAUUCCAUGAAGUGGACAUUGUAACACCAUCGCAGAAGCUAUUGGCUAGGAAGCUGUCAUGCAGUGUGGUACAAGGGAAAAGCCUUCUUUUGACUGGCCCCAAUGGUACCGGGAAGAGCUCUGUUUUUAGGGUGCUCAGAGAUUUAUGGCCUGCCUUUUCUGGGAGAGUUACCAAGCCCUCUGAAGGGAUGUUCCAUGUUCCUCAGAGUCCAUACACCAGCUUGGGAACCCUUCGGGAUCAGAUCAUAUACCCUAUGUCAAGGGAGGAAGCAGAGAUGAAGAUUCUUUCAUUAUAUAAAGCUAGCAACAGGUCUAGUGCUCCUGAGUUGCUAGAUGACCACCUGAAGACGGUUCUUGUGAAUGUCCGGUUGGUCUACCUUCUAGAGAGAGAAGGUUGGGACUCUACCCCAAACUGGGAAGAUGUUUUGUCGCUGGGAGAACAGCAGAGGCUUGGGAUGGCUCGUUUGUUCUUCCACCAUCCAAAAUUCGGCAUCCUCGACGAGUGCACAAACGCUACGAGUGUUGAUGUUGAAGAGCAUCUGUACAGGCUAGCAACAAACAUGGGCAUAACUGUGAUCACUUCAUCACAAAGGCCUGCUCUUAUACCCUUCCACUCCGUGGAGUUGAAGCUCAUCGACGGCGAGGGAAACUGGGAGCUGUGCGAGAUCCAGCACUGA